CUGGCUCAGGAUGAACGCUAGCGGCAGGCCUAAUACAUGCAAGUCGAGGGGUAACGCGUGUAGCAAUACAUGGCGACGACCGGCGAACGGGUGCGUAACGCGUAUGGAACCUGCCCCUUACACGGGGAUAGCCCUCGGAAACGAGGAUUAAUACCCGAUAUGAUAGGUAUCUGCAUGGAUACAUAUUGAAAGCUGAGGCGGUAAGGGAUGGCCAUGCGUCCGAUUAGUUAGUUGGUGAGGUAACGGCUCACCAAGGCGACGAUCGGUAGGGGAACUGAGAGGUUUGUCCCCCACACGGAUACUGAGACACGGAUCCGACUCCUACGGGAGCAGCAGUAAGGAAUAUUGGACAAUGCCCGAAGGUGAUCCAGCCAUGCCGCGUGCAGGG
This 388-nucleotide ribosomal RNA is filed under the name uncultured Flavobacteriales bacterium. Its description in RNAcentral is "bacterial SSU rRNA". It matches the Rfam family "Bacterial small subunit ribosomal RNA", at positions 19 to 408 of the family's 1533-position model. The record is from RNAcentral. Lineage: Bacteria; Pseudomonadati; Bacteroidota; Flavobacteriia; Flavobacteriales.